GACGAACCGUGCGAACGUUAUUCGGAAUCACUGGGCUUAAAGCGCGUGUAGGCGGGUCGCCACGUCGGGCGGUGAAAUCCCCCGGCUCAACCGGGGAACGGGCACCGAUACGAGCGGCCUGGAGGGGAGUAGGGGGACCUGGAACUUCCGGUGGAGCGGUGAAAUGCGUUGAGAUCGGAAGGAACGCCCGUGGCGAAAGCGAGGUCCUGGGCUCCUGCUGACGCUGAGACGCGAAAGCGUGGGGAGCGAACAGG
This 254-nucleotide ribosomal RNA is filed under the name uncultured bacterium. RNAcentral describes it as "partial 16S ribosomal RNA". It matches the Rfam family "Bacterial small subunit ribosomal RNA", at positions 524 to 776 of the family's 1533-position model. The record is from RNAcentral.